Oncorhynchus tshawytscha (Chinook salmon) is the source of this 787-nucleotide long non-coding RNA. Lineage: Eukaryota; Metazoa; Chordata; Actinopteri; Salmoniformes; Salmonidae. The record is from Ensembl.
UUUAUUUUUUUUUUAAAUCGUGUGUGUGUGUGUGUGUGUGUGUGUGUGUGUGUUAAUCCCCGGGUUGACGGCUGCUUUUUGGUCUCUAAGCUGUUCUCAUCUCUACUAUCUCUGCUACAGUGAAGCUCACAGCCAACGAGAGAGAGGCAGAGAGUGUUUUCCCCUCUUCUCUUUCCCUCUCUGUCCUUUCCUCUAAUCCCCCCUCCCCAGUCUCUCUCCCUCCUCUCUAUUUUUCUCUCGGUGACAGGUCUCUCCCUCCUCUCUAUUUUUCUCUCGGUGACAGGUCUCUCCCUCCUCUCUAUUUUUCUCUAGGUGACAGGUCUCUCCCUCCUCUCUAUUUUUCUCUAGGUGACAGGUCUCUCCCUCCUCUCUAUUUUUCUCUAGGUGCCAGGUCUCUCUCUCCUUUUCUCUCGGUGCCAGGUCUCUCCCUCCUCUCUUUUUCUCUAGGUGCCAGGUCUCUCCCUCCUCUCUCUUUUUCUCUAGGUGCCAGGUCUCUCUCUCCUCUCUUGCACUAUAUAGAGAAUAGGGCUCUGGUCUAAAGUAGUGCACUAUAUAGAGAAUAGGGCUCUGGUCUAAAGUAGUGCACUAUAUAGAGAAUAGGGCUCUGGUCUAAAGUAGUGCACUAUAUAGAGAAUAGGGCUCUGGUCUAAAGUAGUGCACUAUAUAGAGAAUAGGGCUCUGGUCUAAAGUAGUGCCACUAUAUAGAGAAUAGGGCUCUGGUCUAAAGUAGUGCACUAUAUAGAGAAUAGGGCUCUGGUCUAAAGUAGUGCACUAUAUAGAGAAUAGG